CUGAAUGGCCUCUUGGCCUUCAACCUUGCAAACCUGUGGAAGCAAGAUGUGCUUCGGCGCCUUGGCGCCGCUAUUAUGCUUUAAUCAGUCUCUGUGUCUGAAUCAAACAUGAGAAAUA
RNAcentral lists this unclassified non-coding RNA (118 nucleotides) under uncultured Archaeorhizomyces. RNAcentral describes it as "sequence contains ITS1". The record is from RNAcentral. Lineage: Eukaryota; Fungi; Ascomycota; Archaeorhizomycetes; Archaeorhizomycetales; Archaeorhizomycetaceae.